Non-coding RNA from Anas platyrhynchos (mallard), 3190 nucleotides. The record is from RefSeq and is a predicted model, not a curated record. NCBI's taxonomy places the organism in Eukaryota, Metazoa, Chordata, Aves, Anseriformes, Anatidae.
GGAGAUAUCUCUCUCUCGCUCUCUCUUUCCCCAAAGCCGCGGCCGGGGAGAAAUGCUCUGUCCCCUGCCUUGCCCCUCGCCGCUCGGCAGUAAAUCGCAGAAACCACCCCGGCUCCAGGUGGAAGAAACCAGCCGCGGACACUGCGCUCCCACACUUCGCCGGGCGGAGAGAGAGGGGAAGAAUUAUUUACGCUUUGUUUGUAUUAUUUGCUGUUUGCUAGCUCUCGCCUAGCCCCACCCCGCCAUCUGCUUUCAGAGCUGUGAAGAGAAAAAUGGAUUUAACAAGCCUUUCUGGUGCGUUUGCCCCUCUGCGGUCAGCGCUUUCAAGUGGAGCUCCUCGAGCUCGUGGGCUUUCGGGGUGGAGUUGCCACGGAAGCCACCCCAGGAGCUCCUCUCUGCUGCAAAUACACAGUUUUAAUGAAGUCCAUAGGUAGAAGAGAGCUCGUCUUCUUGAAGGACAGCUCCAGAAUCCCAGGGGAAGAGCACCCGUGGUGGGAGCACCUCUUGCAGCCCCUCUGCUCCCCCCUUUUUCUGCUCCCCCUCCGGGCGCUGAAGCCUCACGCGGCCGAGAGGAGAAAUCGGCCAAGCAACUGUGGGAAAACUGAAACAAAAUAUUUGGCAAAUCAAUGCACAAGAUAAAUAAACCAUGCGACUGACAAAAGUAAAUAAAUCACUGGGGUUUGUCCGGGCUCUUUACAAGACAGCUAUUGUAAACCUGGGGCUUGCAAAAACUUCAUUGAGCCAAUCUUACGACUGAGGUAUCACAUUCAGGCUCUGAAAUAGCAAGAGAUCUUGGAAAACUGGCAGGGACUCAAUGCCAUGUUUGCUGCCUGACACCUCGGCGUGCAUUUGCAUUGUAUUUCCCCGGUUUUCUUGCAGGAGGGGCCUCGAGCAGCGAGGGAGAGGAGAACAAAGCAAAGCAAAGCGCCGCGAUGCUCCCAGUCCGGUGGUUACAGAGGCCAGGCGGUUUUGCCAAAACCCCUGGUGUGCCAAGCCCACUGCUGGCACCAGAUGGAUGAGCCAACUCUGACCUUUAUUCACCUGUUUAGCUUCCAGCCCCGGUGAUGUCCACGCAUUUUCUCAGGCAUUUGAAGUUAAGAGCCUGGCUACGGCUCUGCCUGAUCGGGGCUUCUCCCUCCAGCAGCAGCAGCUGUCGCAUCGGAGACAGGACUGUAAUUUUUCAGUGUCCUUUGAAGAUUUUUCCAAUUUUAACAACUCGCGGCACAGGCAAACGAGCUGCUUUUUGGCUGGGCUGAGUAAUUCCGCAAAGGUCUCUCAUUUAUUGCAAGUUAUUGCCUCCCCGGGAUGACUGUACAGACGCUCCUGCUGCACUCAGCAUUUUUACGCCGGCAUCUCUCUGCUGGUUGACCCCGGAGCAUUUCCCUUCCCAGAUAUUCUUUAUCACAGCUCUCAGCCAAGACUUUAUUCUUUGGCGGGGCCCCGGUGGCUGCAGGGCAGGUGCUUGGCGCUGCUGCAGGUGCCUCGAUUGUGCGCCGGGGUGCGCACGGUGCAGCAGCCCCGGGGACCCAAAAUCCGUGGGGAAACGCAUCGGCAGCUCCUGGCUCUACCUCUCACCAGUGGGACAGUGCUCACCCGAGCAGGAAACCUUCAAGAUCUGAGGCCAAGCCUUCAAAAAGCAAAUAAAAUUGCUGCACGAGCACCCUGAGCAAAAGCAGAGCCCCAACAUUAACCAAGGGGAGCGAGGGGCCCCGAUCCUGCUGGGGCUGGCCCCCAUUUCCCUGCUCUUUCCCCCCGUGCUCCACCAGCUGGUUUUCCUGCUCUGAAGCUCUCCAUCUCUGAUAAGCUUUAAGACAUGUUUUAAUGUGUGUUUUUCUCCCCCCCCACCCCCCUUUUCUCUUUCAAGUUAAUCCCUCUCGGUGGUUCCUGACAUUGUCAAAUGGCUUUUGUGUCCUGUCAGAAACCCUCUUGAUGUAGCUACGGAGCAGCUGCUAACAAGUUGCCCCUGGGAUCCCACAUCCACGAGGCUGUCUGCCCGGAUAAUGAUUUUCUAAUAAGUAAAUCUAUUAAUGAGGGCUGGGGGGGGGGAGCGGAGCAGUGUCGGGCACCCCUGGCCCGGUGAGAUUUGGGUGCCGUGGGGGCUGCAGCAUCACCGGAGAGGCUCAGGGCUGCCUCGUGCUGGGAAGGGUACCGAUCCCAGAUUUGUUCUCCAAGGAGGGAACCCAAGCAGCCGGUCCCCUCCUCACCACAUCAGGACGUCGGCUAUUCCACAGCUGCUCUUUGGGUUUGUCCCAAGGCUUGGGAGCUACUGGGAUCCACGCUUUUCUCAGCAGCACAGCCCUAAAUCUUUGACAUUUACGGGUGUUGACCCAUAAAUGCUGUGCCCCCCCCGCCCAUGCCGUGCCCUGCAGGAUUUGCAGCGAGCUCGGCACCGCUGCAAUCGAGGAAAAGACAUCGAAGGUGCUGGGGCUGGGAAUGGAGAGCAGGGUGAGGAGAUCCCCGGUCCCUGCUGCUUCUUUUUUGGUUAAGGAUUUUGUUUUUUGAUGCAGGAGCAGCCUGCUGGCUCUGUGCUUCCCCAGGCUCACAAGGAUGGGUUGGAAAAGCAGCUGAGCACCGUGCACACAGGUGGCAUCGCAACCGAUUUUCGGUGGCCAUGAGUUCGGGGGCUUCACCCAGCAAGCUCCGAGCCGGGAGGUGAAAGUAUCCAGUGAACCACAGUGACUCUUUUAAUUGAAAAGGGGGGGUGGAAAAACCACGCAGCAGAAAGCAAAUCCGGUGUGAACUUCGGGGCAAAUGAUCCUCCAUUAUCAAAUCCCAUCUUAAAAAGUGCACGGGGCUAAUUGAAUUACGCUCAGCUGGAUUUCUGGGUAGCCAUGAAGGCCUCUUAAUGUGGAUUGAUGGCAUAAAUCUGUGCUCCAUUGAGGAAAAAAAAAAAAAAAAAGUGAACGCUGGCCCCUGACAUCUAUCUUUCUUUCCAGAAAUCCCAUCUAACUGGACGUCUCCCUAGGCCACUUCCCAGAGAAAGAUGUCUCUAUCCAUUACCCCCGACACGCAGCAGCGAAAGGAAGCGAGGGCCGCUCACAUCUAAUUACUCCCACUCCCGGAUUUAUUACGAUCAUGCCAGGAUUAAUUGGGAAAGUAAAAAUGCUUCGUUGGGUGAUCAAUCUCCUCCGAGUUACUUACCUUGUCACUCGCUAAUAACUGUAAAAUAAAAAUGCCCCUCUCCGCUGCA